Suricata suricatta (meerkat) is the source of this 1194-nucleotide long non-coding RNA. RefSeq lists it as uncharacterized. The record is from RefSeq and is a predicted model, not a curated record. The transcript has 2 exons. Lineage: Eukaryota; Metazoa; Chordata; Mammalia; Carnivora; Herpestidae.
UGCGGGCCCGGGCGGCUCCCCGAGCGUCGCGAGGGAAAACUUACAGCGACGUCUCCCGCAUGGCGAAGAGUCGCGUGGGAAGGAAGGCGCUCCCGGCGGCGCCUCCGGACCGGCAGGUGGGAAAGCCAAGAGCUUGGCGCGGGGGCCCCUGUCCGCCAGACAGGGAGCCACAGCCUGGCCUUCCGACUGAAGGAGUCCGAGACUCGCCCAGGGGCAGUCCCGGACCCGAGGCAGGUGGACUCCCCCACAUCCCUGACCGGUGGCCUCUUGGAUGCCUCUGCUGACGAUGAGCUCACCACUUCACAAGAUGAGGAAACUAAGACAUAAAGACAGGGGGAGACUCACCUGAGGCCACACGGCAAGUUGGGCGCAGACAAGACUGAGACCCCAGGCUCUGGUACAAGCAUCGUGAGACAUCUUUGCCCUCCAGGCCUCUGCCCUGCCACCCCCCUCACACCCUCCCCCCCACCUUUCCUGACAUCUCCACCAAGUCGGCCUGGCAGAAACUAGAGAAGAAAGGAUCUCUAUCCUCAACAGAAGCGCAGCCUCCUGGCGGGAACGUGACCCGGUUCGGCCACUUGGGAAAACUGUGGCGGUUCCUCAAAAGAUAAGACAUCGAGGCUCCGCGUGACACAGCAGUUCCACUCCCCACGUAGGUAUCCGGAGAAACGCACACAGAGGCUCACACGGAAGCUUGUACAUGAAUGUUCACAGCAGUCUUGUCCGUACUAGUGAAAAAGUGCAAGCAGUGCAAAUGCCCACCUGCCGAUGAGCAGAGAAACAAAACAUGCAUCCAUGCGAUGGCAUGAUGCGAGGCCGGACAAAGGACUGAAGUACUGAUACAGGCUUCGUCGUGAGUGAACGUGGCAGCGAGCUCAACGGAAGAGCCAGUUAGAGAGGAUCACCUACUGUAGGAUUCCAUUUAUCUAAAAUGCCCGGAGUAGGCAAAUCCAUAGAGAAAGAGAGUAAAGUGACGGUUGCUACAGGCUGGGGGAAAGGGGCGUGGGGAGUGACUGCUAGUGGCUGCAGGGUUUUUGGGGGGGAGGGGCAGUAAAGAAAGGUCUGACAUUGACUGUGGCAAUGGUUGCACAACUUUGUGGUCCAACUAAAAACCAUUGAACUGAACCCUGUAAGUGGGUGAAUUGUGUGGUGUGUGAAUUCUAUCUCAAUUGAACUGUUAUUUUAUUUUAAAAA